This 689-nucleotide ribosomal RNA is filed under the name uncultured soil bacterium. RNAcentral's name for it is "bacterial SSU rRNA". It matches the Rfam family "Bacterial small subunit ribosomal RNA", at positions 34 to 767 of the family's 1533-position model. The record is from RNAcentral.
CGCUGGCGGCAGGCUUAACACAUGCAAGUCGAACGGGUGUCGCAAGACAUCAGUGGCAGACGGGUGAGUAACACGUGGGAACCUUCCUAGGGGUACGGAACAACUCAGGGAAACUUGAGCUAAUACCGUAUACGUCCGUAAGGAGAAAGAUUUAUCGCCCUUAGACGGGCCCGCGUCGGAUUAGCUAGUUGGUGGGGUAACGGCCUACCAAGGCGACGAUCCGUAGCUGAUCUGAGAGGAUGAUCAGCCACACUGGGACUGAGAUACGGCCCAGACUCCUACGGGAGGCAGCAGUGGGGAAUCUUGGACAAUGGGCGCAAGCCUGAUCCAGCCAUGCCGCGUGAGUGAAGAAGGCCUUAGGGUUGUAAAGCUCUUUUACCAGGGACGAUAAUGACGGUACCUGGAGAAUAAGCCCCGGCAAACUUCGUGCCAGCAGCCGCGGUAAUACGAAGGGGGCUAGCGUUGUUCGGAAUUACUGGGCGUAAAGCGCACGUAGGCGGGUCGUUAAGUCAGGGGUGAAAUCCCGGAGCUCAACUCCGGAACUGCCUUUGAUACUGGCGAUCUAGAGGUCGAGAGAGGUGAGUGGAAUUCCGAGUGUAGAGGUGAAAUUCGUAGAUAUUCGGAAGAACACCAGUGGCGAAGGCGGCUCACUGGCUCGAUACUGACGCUGAGGUGCGAAAGCGUGGGGA